RNAcentral lists this transfer RNA (72 nucleotides) under Parasteatoda tepidariorum (common house spider). RNAcentral's name for it is "transfer RNA proline (anticodon CGG)". It matches the Rfam family "tRNA". Rfam says of the family: Transfer RNA (tRNA) molecules are approximately 80 nucleotides in length. Their secondary structure includes four short double-helical elements and three loops (D, anti-codon, and T loops). The record is from RNAcentral. Lineage: Eukaryota; Metazoa; Arthropoda; Arachnida; Araneae; Theridiidae.
GGCACAGUGGUCUAGGAGUAUGAUUAUCGCUUCGGGUGCGAGAGGUCCCGGGUUCAAUUCCCGGCUGUGCCC